RNAcentral lists this ribosomal RNA (646 nucleotides) under Hafnia sp. J91. Its description in RNAcentral is "bacterial SSU rRNA". It matches the Rfam family "Bacterial small subunit ribosomal RNA", at positions 107 to 749 of the family's 1533-position model. Lineage: Bacteria; Pseudomonadati; Pseudomonadota; Gammaproteobacteria; Enterobacterales; Hafniaceae. The record is from RNAcentral.
UGAGUAAUGUCUGGGAAACUGCCUGAUGGAGGGGGAUAACUACUGGAAACGGUAGCUAAUACCGCAUGACGUCUUCGGACCAAAGUGGGGGACCUUCGGGCCUCACGCCAUCAGAUGUGCCCAGAUGGGAUUAGCUAGUAGGUGGGGUAAUGGCUCACCUAGGCGACGAUCUCUAGCUGGUCUGAGAGGAUGACCAGCCACACUGGAACUGAGACACGGUCCAGACUCCUACGGGAGGCAGCAGUGGGGAAUAUUGCACAAUGGGCGCAAGCCUGAUGCAGCCAUGCCGCGUGUAUGAAGAAGGCCUUCGGGUUGUAAAGUACUUUCAGCGAGGAGGAAGGCAUUAAGGUUAAUAACCUUAGUGAUUGACGUUACUCGCAGAAGAAGCACCGGCUAACUCCGUGCCAGCAGCCGCGGUAAUACGGAGGGUGCAAGCGUUAAUCGGAAUUACUGGGCGUAAAGCGCACGCAGGCGGUUGGUUAAGUCAGAUGUGAAAUCCCCGAGCUUAACUUGGGAACUGCAUUUGAAACUGGUCAGCUAGAGUCUUGUAGAGGGGGGUAGAAUUCCAGGUGUAGCGGUGAAAUGCGUAGAGAUCUGGAGGAAUACCGGUGGCGAAGGCGGCCCCCUGGACAAAGACUGACGCUCA